GGCAUCAAUAUGGUGAACUCCUGGGAGCUGGGGACCACCAGGUUGCCUAAGGAGGGGUGAACCGGCCCAGCUCGGAAACGGAGCAGGUCAAAACUCCCGUGCU
The sequence is an unclassified non-coding RNA, 103 nucleotides long. It matches the Rfam family "Metazoan signal recognition particle RNA". From Rfam's summary of the family: The signal recognition particle (SRP) is a universally conserved ribonucleoprotein. It is involved in the co-translational targeting of proteins to membranes. The record is from Ensembl.